AACUUUAAUCGCAGAAAUAUUUUAUUAGUCGGAAACAUCUUACAAUGGAGCAAAUUCAAGGAAUGUCCCUUUAAAAACAACAUAAAAUGAUAAGAACGUAAUACAUACAUGUCAUAAGCACCUGACAAUUACAGGUGGUAUUACAUAAACAUUGUACAUAGCAUAUUAAUAAAGAAACCAACUAUUGUAGGUGGGGGAAAAUCCGCCACAUUGCUAGGAAAGCUGCUGCUAGCCAGCGGCAGCUAAUCCUAGCAACCCCCACCCACAGCAGUUUGACCAUCAAUAAUGAGUAAAAUAAUAUCUAAUGAUAAACCACAUAAACAGUUGUAAAAACAAUCUAGUUGCCCUCUUAUCCAAGGUAAUUUUAAUGUCCAUUUGGAUUCAUAUUUUGACAACAACUAAUUUGACAUCCACAGAUAACUGACAGUUGAAUACAGCAACACUGGGUAUCUACUGCUACACAUUUACAAUAACUAAAAUAUUUAAGAAUGAUGGUAUUUAGUAUCUUUUCGGGAAUACCCUGCAUUCAAUGUAUACCUUCUGGCCCAUUAAUUAUGCAGCAGUUAAAACUGGACACAUGCUAGGUUACCCUGUAAACUACGAGAUUGCCAUGCAAGCGAUGCAGUCUACGGUACACUCCAAGAAUGCCAUGCAUUCGACGAAGCUGACAUGUACUGUCCAUAGUCUAUAUCUAUAUAUAAACCAACAUUUCUCCAGUGAAGGAUGUAAUUGAUAAAGAUACAUGUGGAAGAUAAACUUGGGUUGGGGGAAUUCAAAUCAAUUGUGUGGUUGAGAUUUUUGCUAUUGUCAGCCAUCAACAGUUCAUAUUAAUAUACAUUGUUGAUAGUUUGGCCCAUCAGAUAAUGAUGAAUAGAAAGAAGAAACUGUCCAAAAACUGUAAUUUCUUUAUCGACUGGGGUUCAUAUUUUGAAUUCCAAUUAAAUCAGAUGAUCAUAAAAAUACCAACAAAAGGCAAAAUAUAAUAAUAUAUUAAUUCUAAAAUAUAUGGUAAAUUGCAAACAAGAAUUCUACAGAAUUAAAUGUCUGGCCUACCAUAAACAUAUUCAGUGUCAUCGAUAAUGCAUCUGUAGAUAUCUAUCUCAAUGCAUGUUAAAAAUGUUUUUAAAACAUUAAAAAAAAAUAAACUUCAAAAAAUUAAAUUAAAAUUUUAAAAAAAUAAAGUCGAAGAACAAAUUUUGAUGUGCAAUGAGGUGAACAUUCAUAGACGACUAUAAAUGAAGCUUUACUGAUUCAGGGCAUGUGAUUUAUGAGACAUGUAGCUACAUUUGUACAAUCAAUGUUGAGCUAAAUGCAAAUGUUGAUGAUGUAGCCAACGAAAACGUUAUACCUAUACUUAAUUUUUUUUUAGUUUGUACAUUUGCAAGUGCCGACAACACUGCAGUAAAUAGCGGCAGAGAAGAGCUGAAGAAGGUGUUGAAGAACUACAAGUGGGAAGAUAUCUUCAACAUGGAUGAAACCGGACUGUUUUUUAAACUGGGCCCAAAUUACAGCUUAGCAUCAAAGCUAGUGAAAGGGGUUAAACGGUCAAGGGAGAGAAUAACAGUUGCAUUGUGUGCAAAUGCUACCGGGGAAAUAAAAAUUAAGCCACGAUUCAGUAGUCCGGAAAUUCGUUUAUCCGGUCAAUUUGUGGAGAAAACCAUUCUGUCCGGAUUAACGAGGUUCGACUGUACAUGUGUUGUAAAGGUAAGACAAAAAUCACCAGACUUGGCAACAUCAGGAUAAACAAUGUUUUUGACAGUAUGGUCACUGGUUAUGAAAGUAUAUUAUAUGAAUAUUGUAUGACAAUGUUUUGGGGAUUUUUAAAAACGAGUUCAAUUUAUUAGGAUUUUAUGCACUUAUUUUGAUGAUAAAAACACUUAAAACAAGUAAAUAUCAUUGAUUAAUUAAAAUAACAGUGUUUCAUUAGUAGUAUUUGAUAUACAUAUCAUUUAUUAGUUGUAUAAGUGAACUGGACAAAAAGUAACGUCCUGGCUCAUAGUGAAAUUUUAAAAAGUAAAUGUUACAUCACAAAGAAUUUUUUGUUGUUUUAAUUUGCUAUACGUCAUUUAGAAAUAGACUGGAUAUUGCGUUAAACAGUGUAUUUCAACAAGCAAACAUUCUAUCAGGAGAGCAGAGUUUUGGAAUUUACUGCAGUGUUAAAACAGUGAUGUCCAUUUACUUUUCACUUUAUAAGUCAUUAUUUUUUUUAAACAAAAACAACAUUAGGCCUGACAUGCUUAUACUACUAUAUGUAACGAGUCUAUAAAUGAUAAAACUGCAUUUCCAUUUAAAAAGGAUUUUCAGUGAAGGAGAUCAUAAGAGUCAGAAUGUUAUUACCAUGGAAUGGCCCUUUUAUAUUUUGUAAAACACAUGCCUCUGAGAAGUAUAGGUUAUGGAGACGAGCUCUAGUUUAUUAUUUAAAGGAAUGUCCCCAUUUCAACAUCACAGACCCUUGUUCCAUUCUGUUGUAACUUUAUUCAAAUGUUUUACAGAUUUGUAGAUUAACCAACCUUUGUGUCCACUUUAAGAGGUUGAAACUAGUAUCUGCGACUUUUAACUGUUACACUUGUUUUGUGUUUGAACAUUUAUAGUCUGCCUCUGGAUCACAAGGAAAUGUUGAACAUGCAUGAUCCCAAAGAACUGCUGCGUCCUAUGUACAAGAUAUACGUAAAAUCCACGGUCAUCUGCAAAAUUAAGUCUGCCUCUGCAUCACAAGAAAAUAUUGACCAUGCAUGAUCCCAAAGAACUGCUGCGUCCUAUGUACAACAUUUACGUAAAAUUGACGGUCAUCUGCAAAAUUAAGGAUCACCAGAGCCUCUGUGGCUUGAUCACAAGCGUUACAGAAGUUAAAACUGAUAACAAUGAGAGAGAGCAGGGAGAGUGUGCCUGACAAGAUAAAUCCUCAAGCUUCUAGAGAGAAAUCAUAUCAGUCGGUUUUGCAGUCUGUUAUCUCUAGAAGACUUCAACGACAAAAGAAGUUGGUGAACUUGCUCAAUAAUGUAAAUAAUCGGGGUGUUAUUAAGUUUAUGUUUAUCUUGAUCACCUCUGUAAACACUCUGUAAGUCAUUAUCAAAAUUAUAUGUGGGUUUGGUUUUAUUAUUAUUAUUUAUUUUGUUUUAGCUUAUUACACAUAUACUUAACUCUGGGCCAAUGUAUAGACUUUUGAGUAAUUCUUUGCAAGAGUUAUAUUAUUUUAGCAAGUUUCGAUCACAAGUCACUUCUAAACAUUGAUUGAGUAAAAUUUUACAUAUGAUAUUUGACAAUUUAUAUUUUAAAAAAUGUAACAAUUCGCGGUACAUACCUUUGUGACAUAAAAUGUGGAUGUUCUUCACUUUUUAAAAUUUCAGGUGAGUGAUAAAUCACUCUCCUCAUAACUUGACAUAAGUGCCAGGCGAGUGAUUUGCAUUCCAUAGAAAAAACUGAGAAUACAGCUUGGACAUAUUGACAAAAAUAAGUUUUGAAUAGUGCACAUUGAAAAAUCACUGAUAAUAAUAUAAUAAUAUCAUGAUAUAUUUUAAAUACUAGGGCCAACUGGGCUUAAAGCAGCAUCUAAGUGAAAGAAAGAAAUGUUUUAUUUAACGACACACUCAACACAUUUUAUUUACAGUUAUAUGGCAUCAGAUAUAUGGUCAAGGACCACACACAGAUAUUGAGAGAGGAAACCUG
This 3666-nucleotide long non-coding RNA is filed under the name Gigantopelta aegis. Its description in RNAcentral is "uncharacterized LOC121388969, transcript variant X1". The record is from RNAcentral. Lineage: Eukaryota; Metazoa; Mollusca; Gastropoda; Neomphalida; Peltospiridae.